Molecule: ribosomal RNA, 549 nt
Filed under: uncultured bacterium
Lineage: Bacteria
Description: partial 16S ribosomal RNA
Source: RNAcentral
UAAUCUUGCGACCGUACUUCCCAGGCGGCAUACUUAACGCGUUAGCUCCGGCACAGGAAGGGUCGAAUCUUCCCACACCAAGUAUGCACCGUUUACUGCCAGGACUACCGGGGUAUCUAAUCCCGUUCGCUCCCCUGGCCUUCGUGCCUCAGUGUCAGUAACUGUCCAGUGACCUGCCUACGCCUUUGGUAUUCCUCUCGAUAUCUACGCAUUUCACUGCUACACCGAGAAUUCUAGUCACCCCUCCAGUACUCUAGCACAGCAGUAUCGGAUGCAAUUCCAAGGUUGAGCCCUGGGCUUUCACAUCUGACUUACCAUGCCACCUACGCACCCUUUACGCCCAGUGAUUCCGAACAACGCUUGAGACCUCUGUAUUACCGCGGCUGCUGGCACAGAGUUAGCCGUCUCUUCCUCUUGCGCUACCAUCAAUCUACCCAGGUAUUAUCCAAGUAGCCUUGUUCGCGCAUGACAGGAGUUUACAAUCCGAAGACCUUAUCCUCCACGCGGCGUCGCUCCAUCAGGGUUGCCCCCAUUGUGAAAGAUUCUCGA